AUCUUUUCUUACUUAAAGGUUGAUAUUCUUCAUCAUCAUCUUUAUAAUCUUCAACAUCUUCAUUGCUAGUCCUUGGAAUUUGCAAGGCCUUCUUUUUCAUCUUCUUUGCCUCUUCAUCUUCAUUAUUGGUCCUUGGAAUUUCUAAGGUCUUCAUUUUCAUCUUCUUUGCCUCUUCAUCUUCAUUCACACGUUUAUCAUCUAUAUUUUCUUUAUCUUCUUCUUUUCUUACUGGAAUUAGAAAU
This 242-nucleotide long non-coding RNA is filed under the name Physcomitrium patens. RNAcentral's name for it is "long non-coding RNA (PPAT_LNC010337)". Lineage: Eukaryota; Viridiplantae; Streptophyta; Bryopsida; Funariales; Funariaceae. The record is from RNAcentral.